GACGAACGCUGGCGGCGUGCCUAAUACAUGCAAGUCGAACGCUGAAGGAGGAGCUUGCUUCUCUGGAUGAGUUGCGAACGGGUGAGUAACGCGUAGGUAACCUGCCUGGUAGCGGGGGAUAACUAUUGGAAACGAUAGCUAAUACCGCAUAACAGUAGAUAUCGCAUGAUAUCUACUUGAAAGGUGCAAUUGCAUCACUACCAGAUGGACCUGCGUUGUAUUAGCUAGUUGGUGAGGUAACGGCUCACCAAGGCGACGAUACAUAGCCGACCUGAGAGGGUGAUCGGCCACACUGGGACUGAGACACGGCCCAGACUCCUACGGGAGGCAGCAGUAGGGAAUCUUCGGCAAUGGACGGAAGUCUGACCGAGCAACGCCGCGUGAGUGAAGAAGGGUGUCGGAUCGUAAAGCUCUGUUGUAAGAGAAGAACGGGUGUGAGAGUGGAAAGUUCACACUGUGACGGUAGCUUACCAGAAAGGGACGGCUAACUACGUG
This 495-nucleotide ribosomal RNA is filed under the name uncultured bacterium. RNAcentral describes it as "partial 16S ribosomal RNA". It matches the Rfam family "Bacterial small subunit ribosomal RNA", at positions 28 to 507 of the family's 1533-position model. The record is from RNAcentral.